RNAcentral lists this unclassified non-coding RNA (358 nucleotides) under soil metagenome. Its description in RNAcentral is "partial contains 5.8S ribosomal RNA, internal transcribed spacer 2, and large subunit ribosomal RNA". The stretch from base 1 to 120 matches the Rfam family "5.8S ribosomal RNA", at positions 35 to 154 of the family's 154-position model. The record is from RNAcentral.
GAUGAAGAACGUAGCGAAAUGCGAUAAGUAGUGUGAAUUGCAGAAUUUAGUGAAUCAUCGAAUCUUUGAACGCACAUUGCGCCCGUCAGUAUUCUGGCGGGCAUGCCUGUUCGAGCGUCAUUACGCCCCUCAAGUCCCCUGUGGACUUGGUGUUGGGGAUCGGCGAGGCUGGUUUUCCAGCACAGCCGUCCCUUAAAUUAAUUGGCGGUCUCGCCGUGGCCCUCCUCUGCGCAGUAGUAAAACACUCGCAACAGGAGCCCGGCGCGGUCCACUGCCGUAAAACCCCCCAACUUUUUAUAGUUGACCUCGAAUCAGGUAGGACUACCCGCUGAACUUAAGCAUAUCAAUAAGCGGAGGA